Long non-coding RNA from Cyprinus carpio carpio, 2727 nucleotides. The record is from Ensembl. NCBI's taxonomy places the organism in Eukaryota, Metazoa, Chordata, Actinopteri, Cypriniformes, Cyprinidae.
ACCUUGACGUAAACAACCAAGGCUUUUGUUCAGCACACACACAUUCAGCAAGAACACCGAGGAGACGCCUGCAGGGAACAAGGAGGUGCAGCUUCAUGAAAAAUGAAAAACAUUACAAGUCACCACUAUGACAUGACUGUAAUCACAUACUAUUUAUUUCAGAAAAUUAUUUAUCAACAAGUAUGGAACAUGCUUGUUCCAUGUUGCAUAUGUGACAUUUUUCAGAUUUAUGCCAGUUUAGUUGAUUUUAUUUGCCAAUUUCUAUAAAAAUGCUCUCUGUUGCAGUCACAUACAUUUGUGUGUUUGUGUGUGUUUGUUUGUGUGUGUGUGUGUGUGUGUGUAUGAGAUAGAAAGUUCGUUCCACUUUGUGUUUAUGCUCUAGGACCAGACCUUGAUUUAAAUUUAAUUUUUUUUUAGAUUUAUGCCAGUUUAGCUGAUUUUAUUUGCCAAUUUCUAUAGAAAUGCUCUCUGUUGCAGUCACAUACAUUUGUGUGUUUGUGUGUGUGUGUGAGUGUGUGUGUAUGAGAUAGAAAGUUUGUUCCACUUUGUGUUUAUGCUCUAGGACCAGACCUUGAUUUAAAUGUAAAUUUUUUUUAGAUUUAUGCCAGUUUAGCUGAUUUUAUUUGCCAAUUUCUAUAAAAAUGCUCUCUGUUGCAGUCACGUGUGUGUGUGUUUUUUUGUGUGUUUGUGUGUGUGUGAGUGUGUGUGUAUGAGAUAGAAAGCUCGUUCCACUUUGUGUUUAUGCUCUAGGACCAGACCUUGAUUUAAAUGUAAUUUUUUUUUAGAUUUAUGCCAGUUUUGUUUAUUUUAUUUGCCAAUUUCUGUAAAAAUGCUCUCUGUUGCAGUCACACACAUUUGUGUGUUUGUGUGUGUGUGUGUGCGUGUGUGUAUGAGAUAGAAAGUUCGUUCUACUUUUUAUUUAUGCUCUAGGACCAGACCUUGGUUUAUAUGUAGAAAUUUUCAGAUUUAUAAUGGAUUUACUUUUAUUUUUUUGACAAACAAAAUUUAAAAAAGUCAUUUUUUUCAUUUUCCCAUUCAUUUUCAAUGUGGGGUCAUUUUGACCCCAAACACCUUAAAUGGUAAAUUUUUUUUUACACACCUUUAGAACAACCAAAUCAAGCCCAGUUUUUUUGUGCAUGUUUAGUUAAGGCAAGGCAAGGCAAGGCAAGUUUAUUUAUAUAGCACAUUUCGUACACAAUGGUAAUUCAAAGUGCUUUACAUAAAAGAAGGUAAAAUAAUCAUGAAGAAAAAAUAAUAACAAAAAAUAAAACAAGCAAUUUUAAAAAAAACAUAAAACAGGCAAUUUUUAAAACAUUGGAAAUGAUUUAAAAAAAUUGACGUAUUUAAAAUGAAUUUAAAACAGUUAAAAAUAGAAAAUGAUUUUACAUAGAAUAUAGUGAAUAUGUAAAAUACAGUGCAAUCAAUUCGGACAUCGCACAUUGCUCAUUCAACAAAUGCACAGUUAAACAGAUGAGUUUUGAGUCUAGAUUUAAAUGUGACUAAUGUUUUAGCACAUCUGAUCUCUUCUGGAAGCUGAUUCCAACUGCGGGCGGCAUAGUAACUAAAGGCGGAUUCCCCUUGUUUUGUGUGAACCCUUGGUAUUUCUAACUGACUCGAUCCUAAUGAUCUGAGUGGUCUGUUAGGUUUAUAUUCAGUGAACAUAUCUGCAAUAUAUUUUGGUCCUAGGUCAUUGAGUGAUUUAUAAACGAGUAAAAGUACUUUAAAAUCAAUCCUAAAUGUAACUGGAAGCCAGUGUAAGGACCUGAGGACUGGUGUGAUAUGCUCAGAUUUUCUGGUUCUAGUCAGAAUCCUGGCAGCAGCGUUCUGGAUGAGCUGCAGCUGUCUAAUGGUCUUUUUGGGAAGGCCGGUGAGGAGACCAUUACAAUAGUCCACCCUGCUGGUGAUAAAGGCAUGAACAAGUUUCUCUAAGUCUUGACUGGAAACAAAACAUCUAAUUCUUGCAAUGUUUUUUAGAUGAUAGUAUGCUGAUUUAGUUACUGCUUUGACAUGACUACUGAAACUAAGGUCUGUCUCCAGAAUCACACCAAGAUUCCUGACUUGAUUUUUAGUUGUUUGUCCCCUUGAGUCAAGGUAUGCAUUCACCUUGAAAACUUCAUCUUUGUUUCCAAAUGCAAUAACUUCAGUUUUUUUCCUUGUUUAACUGAAGAAAGUUCUGGCACAUCCAACUAUUAAUUUCAUCAAUACAUUGGCAGAGGGAGUCAAUGGGGCUGUAGUCAUUUGGCGAUAAGGCUAGGUAAAUCUGGGUAUCAUCAGCAUAGCUGUGAUAGGCAAUUUGGUUCUUUCUCAUUAUCUGACUUAGUGGGAGCAUAUACAGGCUAAACAAGAGCGGUGCCAGAAUUGAGCCUUGUGGGACUCCGCAUGUCAUGGACGUCCACUUAGACUUAUGCUCUCCUAGACUCACAUAAUAACCUCUCCCUUCUAAGUAUGACCUGAACCAUUUGAGUACCAUCCCAGAAAGCCCGACCCAGUUUUUCCAGUCUCUCUAGUAGUAUGUUAUGAUCGACAGUGUCAAACGCAGCACUGAGAUCUAGCAAUACCAGCACUGAUAUUUUGCCAGAGUCAGAAUUUAAGCGAAUAUCAUUUAUUAUCUUAAUGAGCGCUGUCUCUGUGCUGUGAUGCAGUCGAAAACCAGAUUGAAAAAUUGUCCAGGUAUCCAUUUGAGUUUAAGUAUUUGUUCAGCUGAUUAAAAAAACUACCUUUUCUAUA